RNAcentral lists this ribosomal RNA (421 nucleotides) under uncultured Nocardioides sp. Its description in RNAcentral is "bacterial SSU rRNA". It matches the Rfam family "Bacterial small subunit ribosomal RNA", at positions 355 to 774 of the family's 1533-position model. Lineage: Bacteria; Bacillati; Actinomycetota; Actinomycetes; Propionibacteriales; Nocardioidaceae. The record is from RNAcentral.
UGGGGAAUAUUGGACAAUGGGCGGAAGCCUGAUCCAGCAACGCCGCGUGAGGGAUGACGGCCUUCGGGUUGUAAACCUCUUUCAGUACCGACGAAGUUUCUGCUUUUUGGUGGGGGUGACGGUAGGUACAGAAGAAGCACCGGCCAACUACGUGCCAGCAGCCGCGGUAAUACGUAGGGUGCGAGCGUUGUCCGGAAUUAUUGGGCGUAAAGGGCUCGUAGGCGGUUUGUCGCGUCGGGAGUGAAAACGCCGUGCUUAACACGGCGCUUGCUUUCGAUACGGGCAGACUAGAGGUAUGCAGGGGAGAACGGAAUUCCUGGUGUAGCGGUGAAAUGCGCAGAUAUCAGGAGGAACACCGGUGGCGAAGGCGGUUCUCUGGGCAUUACCUGACGCUGAGGAGCGAAAGUGUGGGGAGCGAACA